CUCAAGCACAUGUCCUACUUCUUGAACUGGACAUUCAAAUUAUUGGGCCUUGAAAAGCAUUUGCCUUAUGAGUGAGCUGCAGCUCAUCCCAGAAUACUGCUGGGAUUAAUUUUCAUUGUGUUAUCAAAUGCUUCAUUAUGGCAUUUGAAGGUGUUUCUAGUCACAUUCUCCAAAAUGACUUCUGAGUGGUGGCUUCUGAAGUAGAUGCGUAAGUCAGCUGUCAGUAAUGGCUUUCUUUUUCUUUUCUUUUUCAGUAUCAGAGUAUUUAAUCUCACAAUGGAGCUGGUUAUACUUGCACAGUAGCUGUAAUUCAAAUGCAUUAAGAAGCAUUUAUUCUGUGUAUAAGCAAUUAUGUUGGGAUGGAAGGGAAGCUAAUAGAUUCUAGUGAGCAUGUGAAGCUAGCUUUGGAAAGAAUGGGGCUCCUGUAAUAGGGUAUGUUGAAUUUUUGGCAUUCCCUGAAAUUUUUCAGAAGGUAAAAUUAAAAUUCUUUGGUUUUCUGAAAGCAGAUAAGUGCCUCUUCAUCAAAUGUGGGCUUACCAAGCUAAAUGUUAUCCAGUCAUGAAAAAUAAUAGCAGAUUUGAAUUCCUCAUACCCAAAAACCUAUUUUUAAGACCCCUUACUAAAGAAAUUUGCAAAAAAGAAAAGAAAAAAGGUUUUGUCACCUAAAAUGACCCAUCUACUCAUGUAGGUUUAAUAACUGUGUAGAAGAGUGUCCUCUUCUACAAUAGGUAUAACAUAACAACCUGCUGAAAUCCUCUCAAAUAGGCAAAGCUACUGAAGGUGCAAAUGUAGGAGAUCUGUUCACUUCUGCAUCUGGGGAUCUCAUAUGAAGCUGCCUUGGUGUCACAAUCUUCCCUAACCAGGACCCUGAGGAGACUUCCUUUCUCUUUGAAGAAAAGAUGAGGGCCUGUUGCCCAGAAAACUGUGAACAACAAAGAACCUGCUGUAGCCUUAAAACAGUCCAAAGUACUUAGACUUACGCUUAUCUUGCCUGUGGUCAUCCCUCCACCUAAAUCCCAAAUCACUUGCUGAUUCUCCCAUCUAAUCACCUUUCUCUCAAGAAUGGAGGCCACACUGGAGCCUAUGGAAGGCCCAGAACUGGCAUAAGAGAAUUUAUUUCUUUUUCAGGAUGUUUUAUGGGUGGGCAGGAGUCUCCUCGGGAGGAAGGGUCUCCUCAGGAGGAGCGAGAAGCCCAGAGACAAUCCAUCUGUGAACAAUGACCUAGGGGAUUAUUAUUUAUUUAUUAAAUUUGUAUACCACUCUUCAUCAGUACCAGAUCUUAGGGUAGUUCACAACGUAAGAUUGUGGUUCGAGGACCCGACCCCCGCGAUGUGAAAUAAAUACACAAGGACACGUGAUAUAAGGUUAAUGGGCAAGAAAAGGCCACAACUUUAUUGAUUACAGCAGUGAAAAGGUAUUGGCUUAGGCAUUGGAUGUCUAAAACAAGGGGGUUUAUUCACCAGUAGGUGGAGCCUGUUGAUGCUAAUCCAACUAUAGGCUCUCCCCUGAUGUCACCGGGGGUCGUGCCAUGGCCUCCCGCCAAGCAGGCAUCGGACAGAGUACACGACCGCCAGAUUCCUUUAACGGAAUACCCAAAAAUUGAAGGCAUAGGCGAUGGCCACACCCAGCCCUUCGACACACCACAACACAUUAUUCCAAUGCCUAACCGCCACCCGAGCCAAUAAGGCUCGCCGCCAAUACCCUCACGGCUGUAACCAAUCCCUAAUGCUGCUGCUGACACUAUCUAGCCAAAUGUCGUUCCCCUGGUCAGAGGGAAGCACCCCGUCAUUCCGGUAUAAGGCCCGGUCGCCGAUCCAGAUUUGGUCAUGAUAAAUGACUCGGCCAUUCAUGAAGCGCACCCAAUGGGCCACUGCCCGAUUUACGAGUUUCCUGGUUUUUCAAUGGCCAUACAGCUCAGCGCACCGCGCCAAAAAAUUCUCUUCAGGAAGGAGGACCAGAACACCAUUGUUCUGGGGCACAAGGCAGCAAACGCAACCAAGUCUCUUUUUGUAUUCCACAACAAGUCCGCACUCCUUCUGUAAGCAAGGUCAUUUUCCCCUAAUUGAAUGACAAGGAUGCCGGGAGGGCCGAAUGUGGCGACUUUUUCCCACAGCAAUGGCAUAAGCUCUUCCCAGCGCAUGCGUCUUCUCGAGAACCAGGAAACUCGAACACCAUGUGGCAGACCAAGAUUAGGUGCAAGGCCGCAGCUGACCGCCCGUACGCGGGCCCAAUGGACUAUACUGUGGCCGCAAAUCCACACGCUUCUCCUGAUCACAGCUGAGGAUGAAGGACAGAAAAGGAGGUAAGUAGGGGUAAUAUAGCAGAACGCAUUCUAGCGAAUAUAACUUUUAUAAGCAUUGGAUUUCCACCGGCCCAUUUCUUUAAUCCUAUCCGCUGGCAGACCCAAGAGCACCGCUGUUGUGGUGGCGCCAAUCCUGAAUGAGUGUGCAGCAUAAUCCUGGGAAGAUAAACCACAGGCAUCAAUAGCUUUGCGGAGUACCCUUGUGAAUUGGUGUCUCAACAAAGGUGACCCAUCCUUGUGAACCAGGAGCAGGCCAGAACGGAGAAGAAUGAGGCCGAGGAGAGGCUGGCACCGCCGCAAAAGGCUGCUGAACACGCCCCCUCGAAGGCACCUGGUUGGAUGCCUGCCAAGGGGGCGUGGGCGCCAGCCAGGUGAGAGGAGGAGGCAGGGGGCUAAUGCCCCCUGCUAGGGGCGGUGCUCGGGCUCCCGCCCACAACCACUCCCCUCUCUUCCAGGGAGGAGAGUCUAUACAAGAUGAAAAAUACAAAAUACAUAAUAAAAACAAGAACAACAAAAACAAAUAACGCUUCCCCUCAAGCCUGGGGAUUCAGAUCAACUGAGAUUCAAGGGCUUCACAGGUCAUGAGAGGGUCCCCCCCCCCAGUUGUGGGCCUCCAAAUGUGGACCUCCCUCCCCAGAGUAAAUGUUCUCUCAUCAGUUGCUGAAGAUGGAUGUCUUUACCCAGGCCUUUGAGAGCUACAAAACUGAUUUUGAUAUCCUUGAAAUGCAUUGCCUGGAGUGAUUUUUAUGGGUGGGAUUGCUGUUUAGUGCUGCUUUAGUUGCUUAGUGUUUUAUAUACUGUAAUCCACCCUGGGACAUUCUAAUGAAGGGUGGGUAAGAAAUAUAAUAGGAAGUAAAAACAUUGCAUGCUACAGAUUUUGUAAACAUUUUAUUAUUGAUUCUCUAUAGUUUUAUAAUGCAUUGUGACCUGCCCUGAGAUCAUUCUGACAAUGAAGGGCAAUGUAUAAAUUCUGAAAUAAAUUGAAUAAACAAAUACAAAGGGAUCCAUGCAUCCUUAAAGAGUUAUUCUUCAUCAACUCCAUUUCAGUGUCCUGUUCAACAAAGCUGUAACAAUUUGGUCCUCAAUAAACUGCCAUCUUCUACGGCAAGAGAUUUAUGGACAUAUGUAUAUAUUUUUUGGCAAAAUGAAUAUAUAAAUAUUCAUUUAAUUAAAAUGAAUGAGGUAAAACUGAUUCACAAAACAGUUCCUUGUAAUGAAAUUUCAGGCUGUGUAGUGCAGUUUGAUUGAUGACUUACGGCCAGAAAAGUAGUAAUUUAAUCCACCUUUCUUUUCAUUAAUUCAUUAUAUCCAUGAGAUUCAUUAGUGGGCCCAUUAAAUGAAGUACCAAAAAAGAAAGAAAGGAAAAACAAGCAUCAGCUGAAGUAUUUUUAACCUGUUCUUCUUAGGAAAACGGCAAAUAAGGAAUGUUUAUUGCUCAGUACUGAAAUAGUAGGUCAAGGGAUCAGUCACCUGCAGAUAUUCAAAAGAACAUAUGAGGGCUCAAACUAGAUAGGGUGCAUGGAAGCACAUGUGCAAGCCCCACCCUCAGUGUCCCCCUGUAUACCAGCCCUGCCCUUCCUUCCCCUGUCCUUUGCAUUUUGAGUGUGAAAGAAAAUUACAGUUGUACCUUGGAAGUCGAACGAAAUCCAUUCCAGAAGUCCGUUCAUCUUCCAAAUCAUUCAAAAACCAAAUUGCAGCUUCUGAUUGGCUGCAGGAAGCUCUUGCAGCCAAUCAGAAGCUGUGGAAGCCCCAUCGGAUGUUCGGGUCCCAAAAGAAAGAACGUUUGCAAACCGGAACAAUCACUUCCAAGUAGGCAGCAUUCGUGAGCCAAAACGUCUGAGUUCCAGGGUGUUCAGGAUCCAACUGUAUUACCAUGUUCAAAUUAAUCUUCCAUCAGAUCUCCAUGCUCACAGGUCAAGGCAGGGGGGGGGGGACAGAGCCAAUGUAGGUUUUCUCACAUCCCUUACAUACUUGCAUGGCCUUCUGAACGUUUAAAGAACGUUCUUAUUGGUACAACAUUGUGGAAACCAUAGAACAGAUUUUUACAAUUUGGGGCACCCAAUUUACCAAAUAUGCUCAAGUGUCUGUGGUCAAAUAUUAAACACUGAAAUGAAAUACCAUUGGGUGCCUAAUAUAGAUAUUCACUCCACACUGACAUCAUGCAUUUAAAGCACUAUUAUACCACUGAAACAGUCAUGGCUUCCCCCAAAGAAUUGUGGAAACUGUAGCUUGUUAAGGGUGCUGAGUGUAAUUAGGAGCCCCACAAUUCCACUCACAUUUUCGGGAGUGGUUUAACUAUCCAUUCCUCUUGCCAGUAAACUCUUGAAAUUGAUGGCGUGAACUCAUGGUGGUUUUGUGUUACUAUUAGUAUUACAGUGGUACCUCAGGUUAAGUAUUUAAUUUGUUCCGGAGGUCCGUUCUUAACCUGAAACUGUUCUUAAGCUGAACCACCACUUUAGCUAAUGGGGCCUCCUGCUGCUGCCGCACCGCCGGAGCAUGAUUUCUGUUCUCAACCUGAAGCAAAGUUCUUAACCAGAGAUAAUAUUUCUGAGUUAGUGGAGUCUGUAACCUGAAGCGUAUGUAACCUGAAGCAUAUGUAACCCGAGGUAUCACUGUAUUCAUCUCUUGGAUUAGGACCCACCACACUUUUGUUUUGGCACAGAGAUGUGCCAGAUUGAACAAACCCUGAAUGGAAGGACACACCGUCUUUAGUUGAGGUGAAGGCAUAUGAAAGCAACGGGGGGGGGGGGGGGUAUAACAAAGAGAGUUGGGGCAAGAAUACAGCCCUGUUUCACACCACUCUUUACAGGAAAGGCGUUUGAUUAGCCAUCAUACUGGAUGGUGCCACACAGGUUCUCGCAGAUGGACACAAUAAUUUUGCGAAGCUUAGGUGGGCAUCCUAUCUUGUUGAGCAGUGUGAAUAAUCCUUUUUUGGCUUAGAAGUUCAAAGACCUUUGUCAGGUCUAUGAAGGCAAUGUACAGAGGGCCUCUUUGCUCAGCAUUUCUCCUGAAGCUGGUGCACUGAGAAACUCAUGUUGACUGUUGACCUCUGAUCGCUAAAGCUGCAUUAUGACUCAGGACAGUCCCUGUCAAUGGUAAUCUGUCGGGAACUAUAUGGGUUUGUUUUUCUAGAGGGUCACAAUGCUGGAGUCACACAAAUGUUGUGGCAUGGAUCCUUGUUCCCAACAAUGCAAGAGGAGGCCAUGGAGGCCUUAACGCUUUCCACAUGUGCUGUGUCAGUAGGAUUUCAACAUCGCAUGGCAGGACAGAGUCUAAAACAAAGAUGUGUUCUCCCAUGCCCACAUUUUCAGCAUGUUCACACUCCUAUCUCAGCAACGUCUAUGCUGGCUUGGUCAUGUGCACAGAAUGGAAGAUGGCAAGAUCCCCAAGGACAUGAUAUACGGGAGCGGGCUUCAGGCACCAGUCUCAUUGGCAGACCAACUCUGUGUUACAAAGAGGUCUGCAAAUGAAAGCUGGCAAUAUCAUCCCCACCGUGCGGAAAUCCCUUUCAGAAGACCGCAGUGCCUGGAGACAGGUAGUCAUGUCAUGCAUCCACAGCAGUGUCCAGAAGAACAAUGUGCUGGGAGGGAGCACAGAGAGAAGAAAUGUCAUUGUGCAUCUACAGCAGCACAUCUGGGUGCCUUCAUCUGCCCCAGCUGCAACAAAACAUGUCUCUCCCAUAUCAGUCUCUACAGCCACAGCAGGUACUAUAACCUUCCAACAGAAUGAGUUUGGCUUCAACCCCAAAGGUGAACUCCUGCAUUGUCUCCUGAGACAGACAGGUGGCAACAAGUAUUAUUAUUUGUUUUCUGUUUUUCAAAUUUCAUUUGAUUUUACUGACUUUAUUUUUAUUCUCCCCACCUUCAUUUUCUCUGUUAACUUUGCAAGCUGUGAUGAAAAUAGCAACAGCAACAAUUGUUUAAAAAAAAUAUCUGGAGGUACUAGGGGGUGUAAUCUAGGGUGUGUACAAUGCAAAAAUGUAAUGAAGAGUUUGUUUUAGAACAAUUUUACUUUAGUUCUGGUCAUAAAUUGUGCAGUGUGUGAAAUAGCAAAACUGGUUUGAUGUUCCAGGGGGUGGGGGUCUGUGUCUGCCUGUGGUAGUGGCUUGUUUCUCUCAAAUAUCCUUUGCGUUAUUUUAUCAACUUCCAAUCACAGUUGGGUGAGAUUGCAACUCUUGUGUCUCUGCAUGGCAGGUCAGACGAAUGGUUCCCUCUGAAGCCCCUGACAAUGAGACAAACAGGAAUACAUUGCAGUUGGAACGGCAAGGCCCCAGGAGCCAGAGUGUCAUUGCUGUGACGGCCUCCAAUGGCUGGAGACUUGGGAACUCUGGCUCUUUCUUGAACUGGGGUCACUUGACUGGCAUGUCUGCCAGUCUCCUGGGUGGCCCUGAGCUGGCUUUCUGCAGCAGGAUGAAAGUGUCAGCAGAAUUUUUUAAAAGCACCCUGAAUCACAUUUCGAGGAAAAGAGGGCAGAACAUAUCUUGCUUGAAUUUGCUUUCUGUUUAAUAUUUCUGCAGUGAUGACUUGGGGAGGAUCUUUGUUUCCAGCAGGUAGG
Non-coding RNA from Podarcis lilfordi (Lilford's wall lizard), 6856 nucleotides. Lineage: Eukaryota; Metazoa; Chordata; Lepidosauria; Squamata; Lacertidae. The record is from the annotation of a GenBank genome assembly.